This 1360-nucleotide ribosomal RNA is filed under the name Salmonella enterica subsp. enterica. Its description in RNAcentral is "partial 23S ribosomal RNA". It matches the Rfam family "Bacterial large subunit ribosomal RNA", at positions 1589 to 2925 of the family's 2925-position model. RNAcentral also lists the same sequence under 1 other name. Lineage: Bacteria; Pseudomonadati; Pseudomonadota; Gammaproteobacteria; Enterobacterales; Enterobacteriaceae. The record is from RNAcentral.
AGCAACAAAUGCCCUGCUUCCAGGAAAAGCCUCUAAGCAUCAGGUAACAUCAAAUCGUACCCCAAACCGACACAGGUGGUCAGGUAGAGAAUACCAAGGCGCUUGAGAGAACUCGGGUGAAGGAACUAGGCAAAAUGGUGCCGUAACUUCGGGAGAAGGCACGCUGACACGUAGGUGAAGUGAUUUACUCAUGGAGCUGAAGUCAGUCGAAGAUACCAGCUGGCUGCAACUGUUUAUUAAAAACACAGCACUGUGCAAACACGAAAGUGGACGUAUACGGUGUGACGCCUGCCCGGUGCCGGAAGGUUAAUUGAUGGGGUCAGCGCAAGCGAAGCUCCUGAUCGAAGCCCCGGUAAACGGCGGCCGUAACUAUAACGGUCCUAAGGUAGCGAAAUUCCUUGUCGGGUAAGUUCCGACCUGCACGAAUGGCGUAAUGAUGGCCAGGCUGUCUCCACCCGAGACUCAGUGAAAUUGAACUCGCUGUGAAGAUGCAGUGUACCCGCGGCAAGACGGAAAGACCCCGUGAACCUUUACUAUAGCUUGACACUGAACAUUGAGCCUUGAUGUGUAGGAUAGGUGGGAGGCUUUGAAGCGUGGACGCCAGUCUGCGUGGAGCCGACCUUGAAAUACCACCCUUUAAUGUUUGAUGUUCUAACGUGGACCCGUGAUCCGGGUUGCGGACAGUGUCUGGUGGGUAGUUUGACUGGGGCGGUCUCCUCCUAAAGAGUAACGGAGGAGCACGAAGGUUGGCUAAUCCUGGUCGGACAUCAGGAGGUUAGUGCAAUGGCAUAAGCCAGCUUGACUGCGAGCGUGACGGCGCGAGCAGGUGCGAAAGCAGGUCAUAGUGAUCCGGUGGUUCUGAAUGGAAGGGCCAUCGCUCAACGGAUAAAAGGUACUCCGGGGAUAACAGGCUGAUACCGCCCAAGAGUUCAUAUCGACGGCGGUGUUUGGCACCUCGAUGUCGGCUCAUCACAUCCUGGGGCUGAAGUAGGUCCCAAGGGUAUGGCUGUUCGCCAUUUAAAGUGGUACGCGAGCUGGGUUUAGAACGUCGUGAGACAGUUCGGUCCCUAUCUGCCGUGGGCGCUGGAGAACUGAGGGGGGCUGCUCCUAGUACGAGAGGACCGGAGUGGACGCAUCACUGGUGUUCGGGUUGUCAUGCCAAUGGCACUGCCCGGUAGCUAAAUGCGGAAGAGAUAAGUGCUGAAAGCAUCUAAGCACGAAACUUGCCCCGAGAUGAGUUCUCCCUGAGACUUUAGGUCUCCUGAAGGAACGUUGAAGACGACGACGUUGAUAGGCCGGGUGUGUAAGCGCAGCGAUGCGUUGAGCUAACCGGUACUAAUGAACCGUGAGGCUUAACCUU